This 433-nucleotide ribosomal RNA is filed under the name uncultured bacterium. Its description in RNAcentral is "partial 16S ribosomal RNA". It matches the Rfam family "Bacterial small subunit ribosomal RNA", at positions 29 to 507 of the family's 1533-position model. The record is from RNAcentral.
AACGAACGCUGGCGGCAUGCCUAACACAUGCAAGUCGAACGAGACCUUCGGGUCUAGUGGCGCACGGGUGCGUAACGCGUGGGAACCUGCCCUUAGGUUCGGAAUAACUCCCCGAAAGGGGUGCUAAUACCGGAUAAUGUCUUCGGACCAAAGAUUUAUCGCCUUUGGAUGGGCCCGCGUUGGAUUAGCUAGUUGGUAGUGUAAAAGCCUACCAAGGCGACGAUACAUAGCUGGUCUGAGAGGAUGAUCAGCCACACUGGGACUGAGACACGGCCCAGACUCCUACGGGAGGCAGCAGUGGGGAAUAUUGGAAAAGGGGCGAAAGCCUGAGCCAGCAAUGCCGCGUGAGUGAUGAAGGCCUUAGGGUUGUAAAGCUCUUUUACCCGGGAUGAUAAUGACAGUACCGGGAGAAUAAGCGCCGGCUAACUCCGUG